GUUGGUUGAAUAUUUUUAAUGUACAGCACAAUUACAUAAUAACUGCAUGCAUUUUCAACAGUAUUUGCCCCAAACACAAAUGAAAACCUUGUGAACGAGGCAAGUCAAUGUCCUGCUAAGCUUGCAACUUUGCUGCUCGACUAGACUUGUUACAAACUUUGCCACUUAAUCAAACAGCAAGUCUUGUUACCAAUAUGUUAAACACCUAAUGUAUAGACAAAACUGUUGCUAAGUAGAAUCACUUUAAAAACAAAUUUUGUUGUCUAUUCAGAAUGAAUUACUAUGCAUUGUACUUUGUAUGAUCUCUAUUUCACACAAUAAGCCUUUUGCCUUACUGCAUGAAAAUGGCUUGCUGCAUGACAGUAACUAUUUGAGGAAAUUACAUUGCAUGCUAUAAACUUACUGGCCACAUUUAAAACAGUUGGGUGCAUCAAUCAGCUAGUUGUGCCUAGACAACUAAUUAAGUAUGAAUAAACAGGCCAUGAAAUGUCGGUUAUUGUCAUAAUUUAGUGGGUUGCAUAUAUAGGCAAAUUUUGUUUACAAAUUAAUUUUAAUUUGCACCAUAAAUAUGUAAAUGACAUUUUAAAAAUUUUCAUAACCAAAAACCAUAUUUCAGCAAGAAAUUGCUUUCAAAAUUUGUUAACCUGACUAACUGGCUGGUAAAAAUUUGCAAACAAAAUUUCCCGCUUACAUAUAGUAUAGUAUGACAUUAGAUUUUGCCACAAUCGCAGAGGUCUCGGGCAGUCUCGGCUGUGCGGCCUGUGCUGACUGAUCCCACUCACUCCAAUACAACAAAAUGGGGUCUAGCUGGUAUGCAUUAAUCCAAGCAGCUCACAAAUCUUCAAAUGCGUCUUUGUCCACACUUUCGCCACAACUUUGCCUGGUUUUCUUCAAAAAUCCGUCUAUUAUUUUGUCCUGUAUGAAUUCUUUUCACUGAUGUUUUUCCGCCAUUUUGAAUGAAUGUGGCGCGGUACUUUAUGUAAGCGACAGGUUUUGGAUACUUUUACUGGAAUAACCGCUGGACUUUGCAUAUCGCAUAUUGGCGCUUUUGCAUGCAUUUUUGACAGGCGUGG
Molecule: non-coding RNA, 1073 nt
Organism: Paramuricea clavata
Lineage: Eukaryota; Metazoa; Cnidaria; Anthozoa; Malacalcyonacea; Plexauridae
Source: the annotation of a GenBank genome assembly